UACAGAGGUCCCGAGCGUUGUUCGGAUUCACUGGGCGUAAAGGGUGCGCAGGUGGGUUGGCAAGUUUGAUGUGAAAGCCCCGGGCUUAACCCGGGAAUGGCAUUGAAUACUGCUGAUCUGGAGGAUCGGAGGGGGGACUGGAAUUCUUGGUGUAGCAGUGAAAUGCGUAGAUAUCAAGAGGAGCACCAGUGGCGAAGGCGAGUCCCUGGACGAUACCUGACACUGAGGCACGAAAGCUAGGGGAGCAAACAGG
This 253-nucleotide ribosomal RNA is filed under the name uncultured bacterium. RNAcentral's name for it is "partial 16S ribosomal RNA". It matches the Rfam family "Bacterial small subunit ribosomal RNA", at positions 524 to 776 of the family's 1533-position model. The record is from RNAcentral.